Molecule: non-coding RNA, 758 nt
Organism: Pipistrellus kuhlii (Kuhl's pipistrelle)
Lineage: Eukaryota; Metazoa; Chordata; Mammalia; Chiroptera; Vespertilionidae
Source: the annotation of a RefSeq genome assembly
AUGUCCUUCAGAGGUUCAGUAGAGCCUGCUGCAAAGGGCUCCUGGGCCUGUGUUGGAAAGGCUGUAGAAUCCUUCCAGCAGUUUACCUGGCAAACAAGUACUCAGGAUCUCGGCGAGUGCCUGCCUUCCAGGGCUCUUCGAAGAGUGGAGGGGGCUGGAGUGGACCUUCUGCAGGCUCUGGGGAUGCAGUGCCUGGCUCAUGGUGUCCUGCAGCAGCUGUGGGGAGUUUCCCUUCUUUGUGCUUUUCUGACAAUGGGAGGCACCAUGGGACAAGGCGUUCAGCAGCCCGCCGAGCUGACAGCUGUGGAAGGAGCUUCUGUCCAGGUCAACUGCACAUACCAGACACCUGGGUUCAAUGGGCUGUUCUGGUACCAACAGCGUGAUGGAGGAGCACCCGUAUUUCUCUCUUACAACGUUCUGGAUGGUUUGGACACAAGAGGUCGUUUUCCUUCAUUCCUUAGUCGCUCUGAUACUUACAGCUAUCUCCUUCUGAGGGAGCUCCAGCAUACAGACUCUGCCUCCUACCUCUGUGCUGUGAUAGACACAUCGACUCUGAGGCCCCUGCAGCUGCACCAAAAUUCAAAAGGCAGCCGUGGCAGUGGGAAGUUACGUUUCCUAAGCAGGUACCUUCUGUGAGUUAAGACAAAAUUUUAGAACCAGACUGCCUGGAUUUGCAGUCCAUUUUAAGAUUUUCCUUCCCUGCUUUGUAAUUCUUUUAUAUUGUCUUCAAAUUUUUAAUGAAGUUUGUUACAUCUUAG